RNAcentral lists this microRNA precursor (74 nucleotides) under Bombyx mori (domestic silkworm). RNAcentral describes it as "mir-2807 microRNA precursor family". It matches the Rfam family "mir-2807 microRNA precursor family". The record is from Rfam by way of RNAcentral. Lineage: Eukaryota; Metazoa; Arthropoda; Insecta; Lepidoptera; Bombycidae.
UUAACUGAAAUUUGUAUGGAGUUGGAACGUUUGCCGCUAGGAGCGUUGUUCCAACUGCAUAUAAAUUUGAGUUA